This 302-nucleotide small nuclear RNA is filed under the name Anolis carolinensis (green anole). RNAcentral's name for it is "7SK RNA". The stretch from base 1 to 158 matches the Rfam family "7SK RNA", at positions 10 to 171 of the family's 331-position model. Rfam says of the family: 7SK was discovered as an abundant small nuclear RNA in the mid-70s but a possible function has only recently been suggested. Two independent studies have found that 7SK RNA binds the CDK9/cyclin T complex (known as elongation factor P-TEFb). Lineage: Eukaryota; Metazoa; Chordata; Lepidosauria; Squamata; Anolidae. The record is from Rfam by way of RNAcentral.
AGAAGUUUGACUGUGACCUCUGUCACCCCAUUGAUCACCAGGGUUGAUUAGACUGAUCUGGCUGGCUAGGCAGGUGUCCCCUUUCUCCCUUACCACUCAAUGUGCAUCUUUCCCAAAGCUGCACGCUCGAUGGAAGAGGACAACGCCCCAGGUAUAGGAGUGUACCGAGGUCUCCUCUGCUAGAACCUGCUCCAAACGGGCUCAAGAAGGCUAAAGUGUCACUGUCUCAGCCACUUUUGUGGACAAUUUCGGAGUAUUCAGAUUUUGAGAUUUUGGAUAUUCAAGCUGAAUUAUAUAUUAGU